Long non-coding RNA from Suricata suricatta (meerkat), 506 nucleotides. RefSeq lists it as uncharacterized. The transcript is spliced from 3 exons. The record is from RefSeq and is a predicted model, not a curated record. Lineage: Eukaryota; Metazoa; Chordata; Mammalia; Carnivora; Herpestidae.
GUGACCUUGUGUGAUUCUGAGCGGGGAGGAACGGAAGAAUGUGGUCAGCCCUCACGGAGUCUAGCACUACAACUGUGAACGGAUGAAUUCCCUCCAUGUCUGCAGUGUCUCAGAAGCAGCCAGUGUCUCCACUGAGGUACUGAUCCAAGUUGGACAGCUGUUCAACUGAUCACGCCCACCAGCAAUCUGGUUUUCACUAAACCAGGAGACUUCAAGCUCUGUCCCUUGGAACUUGUACUCAGAACCAGAUUUCCUUCAGGAGGGGUCACUGCUACUGGGCACGUAUGCCCUGACACUGUGGAUGCCAUGGGAAGAGUUGAGGGAGAGCUCUGCUUGCCCUUCGUGCUGGAAAACCUCCAGGACACAGAGUUGACUGUCUCAUGGCAUCACGUCUUCCAAGAUAGUGGCUUUUUCCCAUGUAAGGAUCAUUCCAGGGACUAUCGACCACCCCUGAUCAAGUCUUAUCAUGUUAGUUUGGACUCUUCCAAGAAAAGCCAUCUACUAAU